ACAGAACCGGAGGAAGUGGGGAUGACGUCAAGUCAUCAUGGCCCUUACGGCCUGGGCUACACACGUGCUACAAUGGUCGGUACAAAGGGUUGCCAAGCCGCGAGGUGGAGCUAAUCCCAUAAAACCGAUCGUAGUCCGGAUCGCAGUCUGCAACUCGACUGCGUGAAGUCGGAAUCGCUAGUAAUCGUGAAUCAGAAUGUCACGGUGAAUACGUUCCCGGGCCUU
RNAcentral lists this ribosomal RNA (225 nucleotides) under uncultured Pseudomonas sp. RNAcentral describes it as "partial 16S ribosomal RNA". It matches the Rfam family "Bacterial small subunit ribosomal RNA", at positions 1157 to 1382 of the family's 1533-position model. The record is from RNAcentral. Lineage: Bacteria; Pseudomonadati; Pseudomonadota; Gammaproteobacteria; Pseudomonadales; Pseudomonadaceae.